GUAUUUAUUUUUGGUCUACUUUUAACGAGGUAGGUCCAAGAGAUUUGAGAUGUCUCGUCCAUUACAGGCGAGUAUCUUUAAUAUUAUAGCCUCUUUUGUGGUAAAACAACUCUGCAGAACAGUAUUUGAAUGGAACUUUUUGUUUCUUUAAUGCCUAAUAUGCAGACUUACCUAUUGAAAAGGGGGUCCAUAAACUUAAAGUGGUAUCCCCACUUGAA
Molecule: unclassified non-coding RNA, 218 nt
Filed under: uncultured fungus
Lineage: Eukaryota; Fungi
Description: sequence contains ITS2
Source: RNAcentral